RNAcentral lists this ribosomal RNA (377 nucleotides) under uncultured Deferribacteres bacterium. RNAcentral's name for it is "bacterial SSU rRNA". It matches the Rfam family "Bacterial small subunit ribosomal RNA", at positions 521 to 896 of the family's 1533-position model. The record is from RNAcentral. Lineage: Bacteria; Pseudomonadati; Deferribacterota; Deferribacteres.
UAAUACUAGGGGUGCGAGCGUUGUCCGGAAUCACUGGGCGUAAAGGGUCCGUAGGCGUCUCAAUAAGUCAUUUGUUAAAGACACCGGCUUAACCGGUGGGCUGCAUAUGAAACUGUUGAGAUAGAGUAUAGGAGAGGAAAGUGGAAUUCCUGGUGUAGCGGUGACAUGCGUAGAUAUCAGGAGGAACACCAAUGGCGAAGGCAACUUUCUGGCCUAUUGCUGACGCUGAGGGACGAAAGCGUGGGGAGCAAACAGGAUUAGAUACCCUGGUAGUCCACGCCGUAAACGAUGAGUACUUGGUGUCGGGGGAUUCGACCCCUUCGGUACCGGAGCUAACGCAUUAAGUACUCCGCCUGGGAACUACGACCGCAAGGUUG